CUGAGUACUACACUCUCUACCCUUUGUGAACUAUUAUACCUGUUGCUUCGGCGGCGCCCGCGAGGGUGCCCGCCGGUCUCAUCAGAAUCUCUGUUUUCGAACCCGACGAUACUUCUGAGUGUUCUUAGCGAACUGUUA
Molecule: unclassified non-coding RNA, 138 nt
Filed under: soil metagenome
Description: partial internal transcribed spacer 1
Source: RNAcentral